AGAAGAGAGAAGGAGAAGGAGAGAGAGAGAAAGAGAAGGAGAGAGAAGGAGAGAGAGCGAUAGAAGGAGAGAGAUAGAGAGAAGGAGAGAGAGAAGGAGAGAGAGAGAGAGAGAGAGAAUGAGAGCGAGCGAGAGAAGGAGAGAGAGCGAGAGAAGGAGAGAGAGCGAGAGAAGGAGAGAGAGAGAAAGAGAGCGAGAGAAAGAGAGUGAUAGAGAGUGAUAGAAAGAGAAAGAGAGAGAUAGAGAGAGAGAAAGAGAAGGAGAGAGAAGGAGAGAGAAAGAGAAGGAGAGAGAGAGAAAGAGAAGGAGAGAGAAGGAGAGAGAGAGAGCGAUAGAAGGAGAGAGAGAGCGAUAGAAGGAGAGAGAGAGAGAGAGAGAGAGAGAGAGAGAAGGAGAGUUUAGAGA
Molecule: long non-coding RNA, 405 nt
Filed under: Salmo salar (Atlantic salmon)
Lineage: Eukaryota; Metazoa; Chordata; Actinopteri; Salmoniformes; Salmonidae
Description: lncRNA (ENSSSAG00000086778.1, ENSSSAG00000107525.1)
Source: RNAcentral